UACGGAGGGGGCAAGCGUUGUUCGGAGUUACUGGGCGUAAAGGGCGCGUAGGCGGUGCAACAAGUCAGGCGUGAAAGCCCCGGGCUUAACCUGGGAAUUGCGCUUGAUACUGUUGCGCUAGAGAUCGGGAGAGGAUAGCGGAAUUCCCAGUGUAGAGGUGAAAUUCGUAGAUAUUGGGAAGAACACCGGUGGCGAAGGCGGCUAUCUGGACCGACAUUGACGCUGAGGCGCGAAAGCGUGGGGAGCAAACAGG
RNAcentral lists this ribosomal RNA (253 nucleotides) under uncultured bacterium. RNAcentral describes it as "partial 16S ribosomal RNA". It matches the Rfam family "Bacterial small subunit ribosomal RNA", at positions 524 to 776 of the family's 1533-position model. The record is from RNAcentral.